UUCACGAAACUAAAAUGUGAGGGUGAUAAUGUAAAGAAUGAGUAGCUAAAUAUGUGGGGUUUGUAAUUCGGGAAAUUAGACGUAAAACAAAUAAUCUUGAAAGCAAAGUAAAGGAACUCGGCAAAAAUGAAAACCGCCUGUUUAACAAAAACAUGGCUCCUUGAUAACAUAAGGAGUCGUGCCUUCCCGGUGAGUUUAAGCUUAAACGGAUGCGGUAAAGCGUGCUAAGGUAGCUAAGUUAUGGCCU
Molecule: ribosomal RNA, 247 nt
Filed under: Argopecten irradians (bay scallop)
Lineage: Eukaryota; Metazoa; Mollusca; Bivalvia; Pectinida; Pectinidae
Description: partial 16S ribosomal RNA
Source: RNAcentral